UACCACAGCUAGGUUUAAUCUGAAGGUCUGUAAUUUUAAUAUAAUAUUAAAAACAUUAUUAUUAGGCUAUAAUCCUGCUUUAUCGACAGCCAGGAUGGGCUAGCAAAAUAUAGAAAAUAGAAAUACCUUUAGGCUAUAACCUAGACUAGCACAAAUGACACCCCACGCAUUCUUUAAAAAUUAAACAAUCAUUUUUAUUGUAUUAUUUCUUUUUUCUUUUUCUUUUAAAGUGCUAACUCUUGCUGCGUCUGUCUGCUGCAGCCACUUCAGAUGAGGCUUAUUAUACUAAAGACUUGCUUACUUGAAAAACGAUGUGGAUUAAUGAUCUGAAAAAAAGGACAAAAAGUAAAUCACAGUGUCAGUAAACAGCAAUUCAGAAUCAUCCACUGAAAGGUUUUUCUAAAGACUGAACAAUUUUUAUUCAUGAAUAAUGGACUCCGUUCACUAUAUUUAAGUACAAGAUACCUAUAUCACGUCACAUCACGUAAUUUUCUGUCACAUGUGCUAUAAUGUCUGAAUGGAACAUAUAUCCACCUGCCACGCAAAGAUUUUACCCCCUCUCUUAUCUUGCCAUCUCAUAGUUAGGUAAAUCAUUUUAUAUUUCUGGGUAGAAACGCAUUUUUGUUGAGGCUGUAUAAGACGGACUACAUUCAAAGCACUUUUCAAAACUGCCCAAUAUGUUCAUGGAUGUAUUCGAAUUAAAGGGAGGCAAAGGAUUAGCUUGCAGUGACAUCUUUCAUAAGGACAAUUUAUGAGGCCAAGUGACUCUAAAAAAAAAAAUCAUGUUUAUUAUUUUAUUAAAUCAGAACUAAUUGUUAACUCAACAAAUUAAAUAUAAAUAACUGGAUACUUAUAACUAAUUAAAUAGUAAAUGUAUUGAUUAGAGUUACCAUAGACAAAAGAUUUUUCUGGUUGGCUAAAUUGCACAUUAAUUUCUGCUUAAAUACUGGGUGCAUGGAGGAAUAUGCAUAAAUCUCACCGCAAAAACAGGCUAAUAAAUUAACGAGGCAUUUUAAUUGUUUCUAAAUGAAGUAUGUGGGGCUAAGACGCCAGGCCUGGUUGUCAGGCGCUGUAUAACAGCGCUUCCCCGCGCUCAGAAAAGGUGCAGAAGAUCAUCAAAAAUCGUGAUAUCGCAUAAGCAGUAUGAAACGACUGUUAUCAUUUCUGAAAACAAACACAAUGGAGUUACAAAACUGUAUUGCACAUCGCAGCCCUGCUCGAGGAUUAUUCAUAUUUUGGAUUUGUAGGCUACGAGAUGGUCUAAUCGGCAUUUCCAGUUAACAUUACAACUCGAGACAGUUCUGCAUUGAAUAAAGUAAAGGUAAACCAUGUCUUUUGUGUAAUUCUGGCCCGCCGCUGCUGUGGGUAGAGCACUAUGCUAGCGUUGGUUCCGCCGGUGUUCUCCGGCGGUCAGAAGAAAUAGCGGUGCUGUGUUAAUAGAUUUCACGACACUAGCAAUGGGUACAGACAUGUAUUUUGAGCUAGCUGUCACAAAAAUAGACUGGACCAAUGAGGUUUUGCUAACUUUAUAACCUAAAAGAGAUCAAGUACUUUUGGCAGAUUUUGACACAUUGGUAGGCUAAAACAAAAAUCUAUUUCAGUGACUGCAGCACUGCGUCGGUUACUACAUUAACCAUCAUGUUAACGAUCAACCUAACAGUAUUUGAUUUGGUACAAUUCAUUCAUAUCGAACAUUAAGCAUGCUUACCUGUACGCUUGUGCCAAGGUCCAGAAAUGAUCUGUGUCCGGUGCAGUACGUUGGUGUUGAUCUCCCGGUCAACCAAAAAUUGAUGGAUUUUCAAUCAUAUUUCCCAGUCAACUAUAUAUCGAUGCAUUUUCAAUCAUAUUUCCCGGUCAACUAUAUGCCGAUGACUCUUCAACAACAGCGUCGUUUCCCGGUCAACUAUAAAUCAAUGACUUUUCAACACAUUCAGCGAUCGCCCGGUAAACCAAAUAUCAAUGCUUAAUCAAUCAUAAAGAUAACUAUAGAUCAAUGUUGUUCCAAUAUUGUUGCCAUCAACAUUAAUAACAUCAGGUUUUCAUCGAUAUGGUAAUGGUGAUUCAACAUUUAUUUUGCAUUGAAAUUUCAACAUCAACCAUAAUGAUGAUUCAGAUGGAAAAACAAUGUUUAUUCAAUGUUGGCUUGCUGUCUGGGUAUAAGCUAAUUAAUUUAACCUAAAAGUCUGCACUGUGGGGUCAAUCGGUGACGUCACUUACAUGAAUGAACUAAUGGGCUGAAACUAAUUCAAACACGAUUUGAACUUUGAUUGCAAACAAAUAUUGAUAAAUUGUACUAUGAUUUCAGGAGCGUCAGAAUAAAAUACCUAAAACGGGAAGUUACAAAAAAAUUUGUAAUGUGAGCUGCUGACAGAGAUACAGGAAACACAGAGCUGGAGCGGAGCAGAUCUCCUGUCGAAGAACAUCUCCAAAGCACCAUGAACCAUCUGACUAGGCAGUUCGUGAAGACGGAUAACCUGGACAGAAGUCGGUUCCAGAUCCAGCCUCCACACCAGACUUCUCACUCACAAGGAUUGCUGUCUACUAGAUAUUAUGUGUACUCUUCAGACUUAGGUUCAUGCAGAUGUUAUUCAGGGACAUGAACACUUGAAUACUGCAAAAAUAGAGAAACUACCUUAUUUAAGAAUUUUGCGUUAAUUGCGUGAACAUUAAACAAAUAUAUAUUUAUUUUACUGUUUUUUGUUUUUUAUUCCAAAGCACCUAAAAGCCAAUUCACACUGCCAUACUCCAACAUGGUGAACACACUGACCAAGCAAAACAAAUAAGCAUGUUUUUAUAGUUUUUGUGAAAGUGUGAACUGACAAUGCUGUAUGUUAGGUGUGAGAUUCAUUCAACUUGG
Onychostoma macrolepis is the source of this 2857-nucleotide long non-coding RNA. RefSeq lists it as uncharacterized. NCBI's taxonomy places the organism in Eukaryota, Metazoa, Chordata, Actinopteri, Cypriniformes, Cyprinidae. The record is from RefSeq and is a predicted model, not a curated record. The transcript is spliced from 3 exons.